Non-coding RNA from Xyrichtys novacula (pearly razorfish), 1122 nucleotides. The record is from the annotation of a GenBank genome assembly. Lineage: Eukaryota; Metazoa; Chordata; Actinopteri; Labriformes; Labridae.
GGGACUUUAACUGGAACUAAAUGCUAAAUGACUGUCUGUGGAGGCCAGCAGAUAUAGUUUUAUUUUAAUAUAGUAUAUGUUUGUUGUGUUUUGUUUAUGUUGUUGCUCUUUUUAAAUUCUAUUUUAUUUUAUUUUAUGAUUUUAAGUUUGUUCUUUGUAAAGUGAUUUCCGGGAUAAAGGGGCAGAUAAAAUCAGAUUCUUCUCUUUUCUGCUCCCUUUCACUCUUGAUAGGAGAACGUUUGUAUUUAAAUUAAACUGUUUCUUUUUAUUUUUAAAUGAAUAAAAUAAAUCAUAAAUAAUAAUAAUAACAAUAUCGCACUUUUCAUACACGACCAUGGAGCACAAAGUGUUUUACUCAGAAAAAGGAAUAAAAGAAACAAAGAAAAACCAAAUCUACCCCAAACACAACCCCUCGAUCCCACCCAACCAUCUGAACGCAGCAGAAACAGGAUUAAAUGAAUUUAAAAAGAGCUUUAAUGUGAACGUCUGAGGAAACAGUGGAGGAUUAAAAUCUAAAAACAGAAGGACACAGAGUGAGAUUAAAGAAAUAAUCAAUGAAAUGAAAUAAAAACAGAAAAAGAAGAAAAAACAAGAAAAUAAACGAAGAUCCUGUCAUUAAAACGAGAGACUAAAGUUAAAACACAAAACACAAGUUCAUGAGAUAAAAUUCAGUUCAAAGUCAAAAUAAAAAGGUUUUCAGUUUGGAUUUAAAGUCAGAUUCAGUCUUCAGGUCCUCAGGUCUUCAGGUCUACAGGUCCUCAGGUCUACAGGUCUUCAGGUCUUCAGGUCUUCAGGUCUUCAGGUCCUCAGGUCCUCAGGUCUUCAGGUCUUCAGGUCUUCAGGUCUUCAGGUCUUCAGGUCCUCAGGUCUACAGGUCUUCAGGUCUUCAGGUCUUCAGGUCCUCAGGUCUUCAGGUCCUCAGGUCUUCAGGUCUUCAGGUCCUCAGGUCUUCAGGUCUUCAGGUCCUCAGGUCUACAGGUCUUCAGGUCUUCAGGUCCUCAGGUCAGCUGUUUGAAGUCGUUUAUUCUCUCCGACAUUAAUUUGGUUUUCAUUAUUUGUCGUUUUCGCCGUUUUUGUUGUUUUUGGUCAUUUUCGUCGUUUCCGUCAUUUUUUGCCGUUUUU